AUGUUCUUUUCAUUUGCUUCCAGAAGCCCAAAGAAUGAGUGCGAUGGAGAUAUAAGCAACACAGACACACCACAGCUUUCCGUGACAGGAGAACAAAGAUGUACUGCAGCACAUGGAGAAUCUGAUCUAUUUUGCAAAAGUCAAACGUCCCAGGAGGAAACAUGUGCAGUGAGACAGACUGAACACUGUGUGGCGCCUCUGAACAUGUGGACAACGCCGAGCUGAGCCCGACAAGCUGGAUCUGAGAUGCGUGGAAAUCCAUCUUUGCAGGGGACAAAUCAUUUUCUUUUAGGGUAUAACAACGUGGUUCUUCCUGCUGCACAAUCAAACCAAAUUUUAAACAUCUUGGCCCAUUUUGAUCCAAGAAUAGCCAAUUUGCCCGUCUAUUUUUGAAUCCAUUCAAAUCUGUUUUCUAGCACAUAAUGAGCAUUAUAGCCUCCUGGAGCCACUACCGCGGGGCGCUGGUUUUCUGUCUAAUGGAGUGUAAACAUCAAACAAAACACCCCCGGAAAAUCAUUUGGAGGCCCUGUGUAAGUUUUAUUAACAAGAGAGGAGUUAAGAGUGCUCCCUAUAAGCUGUUUGCUCAGACCUACUGUAUACUGUAGUUCUAAUAUUAGCUCCCAAAGUGGGAACCGGGGACUGCCAGGGCGCCGUUAGGGAAUUUCCUGUAGCUCCCAGAAAAAAAAGAGCUGUAGUUGAGUUUCAGCUCUAUUGCAAGAGAUUCAGAAUGCCUACUGUGCUUUUUUAAAAAAAAAAAAAUUAUUAGUAGGCUAUCCCCGCAGUCUCGUGAAAUAAGACGUCUACGUCUUUUCUUUGACGAGAGCUCCUAAGAAACAAUGUGGAUAUGUUUGAAAUGAAAUUAGAUCACGGACCUUGUAGAUUGAACUAGUCAACAAUAAAUCUACCUUCACCAGAUGCAGCUUUAAAAAAAAAAAAAAAAGUACAGAUAAUGUGAUUCAGUUAUGACAUAUACUUUUCUUUUUAGGUUAUUUAGAUUUUAUCCUCUGCGGGGGAAAAAAAAGGCUGCCUCAUUAUCUCCGUUCUCUGAUUUUAUAUGAAUUCAGUUCAUGCAAUGUCAGGUCACAGGAUAUUUUAACAUAAGCAUAUUCAAACUUUAACUUGGAAGAACUGGCUUUCAGUCUUGAAACUGUCCAGUUGAAGGGCCAAUACUUGAACGCACUUUAUAGACUAUACUCACGUAUUGGCAAUUUUCACUUUGUAGAGUAGUUUGUGAAAAUAAUGUAACUCUUGAGUGUGAAAUUUCUGUCUGUCAUGUCUUUGAAUUUGUAGAGCUUUAGUUAUUAUAUGCACAUGGUUUCGUAUGGCUGUUUAGAAAAAGGAUUAAAUGAAUAAUCUCUGCACAGUACAUACUAUUGAUUACCUUUGCACUUCUAUUCAAGUGACAAUUUGAACGCAGGAUUUGUGUUUUCUAACGGCUUAGGGUUAUUUUUACAUUGUUUUAUUCUGUACUUUUACUCAAGCAGAGGAUCUGUCUUCCGCCACUGUUAUGGAAAUGUUGUCUUAUAUUAAAG
This 1532-nucleotide long non-coding RNA is filed under the name Scophthalmus maximus (turbot). RNAcentral describes it as "lncRNA (ENSSMAG00000036185.1)". The record is from RNAcentral. Lineage: Eukaryota; Metazoa; Chordata; Actinopteri; Pleuronectiformes; Scophthalmidae.